AAGUUGUAACAGAAUUGUUACAGCCUGAGUCAGCUCUGUUUAGAAUAAAGCUAAAGAUUAGUAGAAUAAUGAUUUUAAUAAAUAAAGAUAUGACAUGUUUUGAGAAACCAAUAAGUUUUAAAACCAUGAUUAUUUUUUCUUCUUAUAAAAAUAAAAAUUGCUUGAUAGGAGAGGGGGUUGAAUACUAUUUUUAUGAGGCAAGGUAUAAGAAGAG
Molecule: long non-coding RNA, 214 nt
Filed under: Trifolium pratense (red clover)
Lineage: Eukaryota; Viridiplantae; Streptophyta; Magnoliopsida; Fabales; Fabaceae
Description: long non-coding RNA (TPRA_LNC006775)
Source: RNAcentral